UUCCAGACUCCUACGGGAGGCAGCAGUGGGGAAUAUUGCACAAUGGGGGAAACCCUGAUGCAGCGACGCCGCGUGAGUGAAGAAGUAUUUCGGUAUGUAAAGCUCUAUCAGCAGGGAAGAAAAUGACGGUACCUGACCAAGAAGCCCCGGCUAACUACGUGCCAGCAGCCGCGGUAAUACGUAGGGGGCAAGCGUUAUCCGGAUUUACUGGGUGUAAAGGGAGCGUAGACGGUUGUGCAAGUCAGAAGUGAAAGGCCGGGGCUCAACUCCGGGACUGCUUUUGAAACUGUGAAACUGGAGUGCAGGAGAGGUAAGCGGAAUUCCUGGUGUAGCGGUGAAAUGCGUAGAUAUCAGGAGGAACACCAGUGGCGAAGGCGGCUUACUGGACUGUAACUGACGUUGAGGCUCGAAAGCGUGGGGAGCAAACAGGAUUAGAUACCCCAGUAC
This 447-nucleotide ribosomal RNA is filed under the name uncultured bacterium. RNAcentral's name for it is "bacterial SSU rRNA". It matches the Rfam family "Bacterial small subunit ribosomal RNA", at positions 329 to 793 of the family's 1533-position model. The record is from RNAcentral.